AGUGGAAGGAAGCCAUGAUCCAAUUAAGACCAAAAACUAAGCACCUUCUGCUGAGAGGAGUGGACAUUAGAAAAGACCAGCAAGGUAGGUAGGGCAUAGUGUCAGGAGAGUAAAAUAGUAGGCUGGUAGGUAGCAGAACCAGUGGAGGAAUACAGCAGAACCUGUACUAUAUAGAAACCUAGACAGCAAGAUCUGAUGACUGCUGGGCUAGUGGCUGCAAUCCUGGUGGACAAGGGCAGCUUGGUAACCAAGGUAUGAAGGAAUCUAAACCUCUCAAAGGGAUUCCGCAGAGGCAUCGAAGAGUCUCCUGAUAAAGCCUCCUCUAAUCAGAGAUGUGUGAAAAUGGAAUCCAAGUCACAGUCUAUGCAAGUGAUCUCCUGAUGUACUGGAACUGUCAACAGAAAAUUACAUCAAAUGCCAAGGAAACAGCAUGAACUAAGCGUGACAAGGGAAACAAUCCUUCCUUCUACCAAGAGAUGGGAACAGGCCUGUUUGAUCAAGUCACACAGUCAGGUGACGGUACAGUGGAAACUGGCCUCUCUCUUUCCCAUGCUCUUACUACUCUGGCCAGCUCUUUCCACAGAACCAACAACCUCCUGUUCUAAAGUCUUCAAGAGUUUCCAAAAAUACAAGAAUUGCUUAUUUUUGAAGUGCUGCUAUUAGACAAUGGACCAGUGUUGUAGUUUAUCAAAGGCUCUUGCCUACCAAUCCUGCAAGGAAAUAUCUUACCACAAAGGAGCAGAUCUUGAAUGAUGACUAUAGAACAGCCCAACUGGCUGUCACUGGCCUCCUUUCUUUUCUCUGUCUUCAUACACUGAGGAUAUUCCACCAGCUGUGACGUUAACAAGCCUCCGUUUAUCUGAGUUGGCAGGUACGCUGUAUGCAUUUCCAGAAGCAACUCUAAACUUCAAGGCUGUACAAAUCAUGUCUGAUUUUGUAACUUCGCAGAGUUUCCAGCUAAUGCCAGUACUCUUUUUUUCUGAGUCAGUUCCAUUAUUUGGAAAGCAAACAGAAGAAAUAUUUUUUCAGUCCCCCAAAUAACAUUUCAAAUGUGAAUACUUAGAGAAAAAAAAGUCUCAAAGAACACCAGAAGAAACAGACUUUGACAAUUAGCCUCUCAAGCAGAAUAGGAAGGAAAAAAAUGUUUUUCAAAUAGAGGAUUACGAGUUCUUUUAUUUACACAUGGAGGAAAGUAACUAAAUAUUGACACUGUUCUUUACUAUAGUUAGGAUUGCAUACACAAGAGGCUGUUGACUCUAGAUGUACCAGACAAAAGCAAACCUAAAACAUUUCCUUUUCCACCAGUACAAGAAGAAAUGAUGGUAUUAUAAAUAAUAGUCAGUCUUCAUCAUGCUGAACUAGCAAAAAAGAUACCAAGAUUUUUCUGCUGUGAAAAGAUGAUCCCCAAGGUCCUCUUCAUUUGCAGGCUUCACUUCUUUCUCUCACCUAGGGGCAGGGGAGUAGCAGUCCAUCAAAUGAGUUAAUUGCAAUGAAUCAUUGGUAAUAGGACUUUUUACCUUGGGCAAUUCUUUAAUGUCUCACCAUGUUAAUGAAGUUCCUAGACUUAAACCAAAACCCAGAUGGUUUAAUUUGUAACGUCAGGACUAGGAGAGAGAGAUUUUUGUCCUUAUGGCAAGCAAUUUAUCUCAGAAGGCAAGACAGCAUAAAACCUUCCUGAUCUUUUCACAAUGAUUUUUAGAGACUCUAUUGUAUUGAAAUUUAUUGACUAAUGAUGGUAAAACUCUACAGGAAGGAUAGAAUCCCUAAUAGACCCCAUGGUGUUUAAGAAAUGUACAAUAUUGCUUUUGGUAAGCUUUCCCAGAGCAAUGUGUAAAUUCCCUUCCCAAGGGGAAAAGCAGAAUUAUUAAUUCAGAGGUUUCCAUUCCUCACACGGUUUUUCCUUUUGCUCCAUAUCACACUUGACUUCCAUAUUCAUUAUUUUUCUAUUGCUGUGAUGAAUGCUUUGACCAAAGCAACGCAUAGAAGAAAGAGUUUAUGGUUCCAGUGGCUUAGACUUCACAAUGUCGGGGACAGAAGGGGGCAGGCAUAGUGGCUGGGGCUGGAAGCUAAGAACUCACAACUCUAACUGUAAGCAGGAACAGAGAAUGCACUGGAAAUGUCCAGUGGCUUUUGAAGCUUCAGAGCCCACUCCAACAAUACACUUCCACCACCAAGGUCACAUCUUUUAGACCUACACAAGCAGUAUCCCAACUGGGGACCAAAUAUUCAGAUGCCCACGACAUCUCAUUCACACCACAACUUUCAAAUUAGAAUUUGGAUAAGCAGUUAAAUUGGUGCUAAAUAAAGUUUUAGGGUCCAACUUGACAAACAGGCUUUUCUCAAAAUAAGCACUGAAGAUUUUUACUUUGUUUAAUAUACUUUCCACAUGAGUAAAUGCAAAUUCUAGUCAGAGGAAUUGUUAUCACUAUCUCAAAUUUUAGGUUAGAAGUCUAAUUAUAGUAAUAAUUUGGAGGAGAAGAAAUGUUCAUUAUUGUCCUCUAGCUUCCUAAUUUCAACUUCAAAAUAAAAAAAAGUGACCGUUUUGUUAUUUGACAGUGGAUCUACAUUAUUGCUUCUUGUCUAAGAAAAAGUAUUAUUUUAAACUUUUUUAAUUAAACUGGAACCUCUCACCAUAAUGCUUUGAUUAUCUACUUUGAUUAUCUACCAUGGUUUUCUUAUGCUCAACAAAUUAUUCCUUCCAGGAGGGAGGAAAAAAAAAAACCGAAGGUCCAUUUCCAUGCCCUCCUCCCCAGCCUUUCCACUCCCCUAUCUCUCCACAUCCCCUCUCCACCAAUAAGCAAUUGCCACACCCAUUUUACAGACAGGAAAAGGAAGCUCAAGGAAAAGGAAGUUCUGCAUGGUAUCCAAAGACAUUCUGACUCUAAACUUAAAUUGUUAGGAACGGUGAAUUUUGUGUGAGGCCAGUACGUUCUGAAACAUGGUUUCUUAGAUCAGCCACUGCUCAGGGAAAUUAUCCAGUCUGAGGUCAAAGGGUGGGAACACACCUCUGUCUGUGAGUU
This is a long non-coding RNA of Mus pahari (shrew mouse), 3020 nucleotides long. RefSeq lists it as uncharacterized. The record is from RefSeq and is a predicted model, not a curated record. NCBI's taxonomy places the organism in Eukaryota, Metazoa, Chordata, Mammalia, Rodentia, Muridae. The transcript is spliced from 4 exons.